GAUGAACGCUGACAGAAUGCUUAACACAUGCAAGUCGAUGGGGAAGUGGUGCUUGCACCAUGGUAACCAUGGCGGACGGGUGAGUAACGCGUAAGGAACUUACCUGCGGGACCGGGAUAACAGUAGGAAACUGCUGACAAGACCGGAUAAGGUCAUUAAGCUGCAUAGCUUAGUGAUGAAAGGAGACGCCUGCGGAGAGCCUUGCGUCCUAUUAGCUAGUUGGAGGGGUAACGGCCCACCAAGGCGAAGAUAGGUAGCCGGCCUGAGAGGGUGGACGGCCACAAGGGGACUGAGAUACGGCCCUUACUCCUACGGGAGGCAGCAGUGGGGAAUAUUGGACAAUGGGGGCAACCCUGAUCCAGCAAUUCUGUGUGCACGAAGACGGUUUUCGGAUUGUAAAGUGCUUUCAGCAGGGAAGAAGGAAGUGACGGUACCUGCAGAAGAAGCGACGGCUAAAUACGUG
Molecule: ribosomal RNA, 463 nt
Filed under: uncultured bacterium
Lineage: Bacteria
Description: partial 16S ribosomal RNA
Rfam family: Bacterial small subunit ribosomal RNA
Source: RNAcentral